Molecule: ribosomal RNA, 431 nt
Filed under: uncultured SAR324 cluster bacterium
Lineage: Bacteria; Deltaproteobacteria
Description: bacterial SSU rRNA
Rfam family: Bacterial small subunit ribosomal RNA
Source: RNAcentral
AUGCAGCAUGUCGCGUGAGUGAAGAAGGCCCUUGGGUCGUAAAGCUCUUUUAUGGGGGAAGAUGAUGACGGUACCCCAAGAAUAAGCACCGGCUAACUAUGUGCCAGCAGCCGCGGUAAUACAUAGGGUGCGAGCGUUGUUCGGAAUUACUGGGCGUAAAGGGCGCGCAGGCGGAAUAGUAAGUCGGAGGUGAAAGCCCGGGGCUCAACCCCGGAGGGUCUUUCGAAACUGCUAAUCUAGAGAGGGUCAGGGGCCGGCAGAAUUCCUGGUGUAGAGGUGAAAUUCGUAGAUAUCAGGAGGAAUACCGGUGGCGAAGGCGGCCGGCUGGGGCCACUCUGACGCUGAGGCGCGAAAGCGUGGGGAGCAAACAGGAUUAGAUACCCUGGUAGUCCACGCCGUAAACGAUGAGCACUGGACGUCCGGAGGGUUCG